ACCUGACUUUAAGUUACUCCAGUCCAGUGUUUUGACAGUCUUUACUACACCCUUAUCACACGCAACAUGCUUUUCCUUCACUCAACUACCAUCCUAAUUCCUAGUGCAAGGCUCAAAAAAUAUAUAAAAAAAAAAAAAAAAAAAAAAAAAAAAAACCCACCAACAAGACCGACCUUCCACCCUUCCAAACGAAAGAAAACUAAAAAUAUAACCAUAUCAAUCAAAAAGGGUCGAUCCAAACUUUUUCAUGUGUCAGACUUAUGCUCAGAGUUGAAGCUUGCAAUCGUCCCUUCAUCCUCUAAAGAUGAUGCAAGAAACUUGUAUCUUGUGCUCAUCUUCUUCGCUUCCUCACUCGAAUAUAUUAGUAUCUUCUUGACCAUCUUACAGAACUCCAGCCAUGGAUCGUCACCCAGAAGCAUCAUAUCACCCUCAUCAUCAGUAAAUACAACAGCCCAUUUGUCACGAGUGGAAAGUUCUCCUUUGAUUUCAAACAUUUCCUCCAGCUCUUUUAUAAGAUCUCCAUACCCUUUCAGCACUGUUAGAUCAACAGCACGACCAACAGCAACUCCUUGCAUUUGCACCUUGGUACGAGUUCUUGUGGAAGAGGAGCCCAGCUUGUUAUGCGUCUCCCUUGGAAAUGUAUCUGAUGCAAUUUGCUUCAGUUCUUUUGAGGACUUAAAAACAUCCAUAUUUUGUGCCUUAUCAGAAUCAUCUGCAGCUGAAACAGGUCCUCUGGUGCCAUUGGGAUCAACAGUGGAACAUAAAGAGUCCUUCUCUGGGGGAGCAGCAGCAUUAGAAUUUCUUGUUAAAUCAAUUCCAAACAAACGGCAGCCUACAGAAUUUUCAUAUUUUUUCCCUUUCUCCACCAGGUUAUGCACCAGGCCAUUGCUUUGCCUCGAUGGAACAGGCGACGCAUAACCAGAGAUGACAGUCUGUGUUGUUAUAGUUCUGUUGUCAUCAGCUGAAUCAGGGAAAAGACUUAGAGAGACAUUCAUGUGAGAAGAAGAAGAAGGCCAUAUGCCCUCUGGUCGGACCCUUGAGUUACAGCUGCUACCAUUUAGAAUACUGCUGUCAAUUUCCUUCUGCCUCAUAGGCCAAACUACUUGGCUUUCACCACUUUGAGCUUCAGCAGCACUACCUAGUUGGCUUAACUCGUGGGACUGGGCUGAUCCAUGGUACCAGAAAGGCGAAGUAGUUGAAUUGGUGGUAAUUUCUGACACUGGUGUAUCUACUGGUCUGGGCCUUUUACUCUUUACCACUGUUGGGGGAAGAUUUACAGAAGCAAAAGCUGCAAAAGGCUCAAUAUCCCAUGGAGAAACUCUCUCUGGCCUUUGAAUUGUUGCUGGUUCAUCCCAUUGUACCUUCAAUGACCGCCAUUUAGAGCCUGACCAGUCGGGAGAAAUUUCUCCAACGCCAACUAUAGUUCCUGUGAACCUCCUCUCAGGAGAGUCUUCUCCCUCAAACCUCAUCUUGAAGCGCAUUCCAACUGACAACCCAUGGUUAACAGCCCCCAAAUAUUUGUUCAAGCCAAUAAUAAAUUGGCUUGUCCUAGGCUUGUAGUACACGACAAAGAGGGUCUGUGUUGUAACGGCAUGAGAAGCAGUAGCGAGCACUCCUAAAUGCAUGCUCUGGCUGGAUAUCACAGAUGAAGGCAUGGGAGUUUGCUGACGAGCAAGACGCCGAACUCCAACUCGCAAUUCCCCAUUAUCACCCCUCAGAAAAACGAAAGCAUCUCCUGCAACCAGUCUCUUGGAAGUGACGAAUGUACUCCACCCAGUUGUAAGCAAAUGUCUUCUUGGUUGACCUCUAAAAAUGUGUUUAAAUCGCCACUCAUAACCAUGAAGAUCUUUGGCAACCAAUUCCUGAGUUGGGGUUACUUGGUUCAUGUCCAAACGAGGUAAGCAUUCAGUGGCGUGCUUUCUGAGAACAGAAAACCCUCCAUGGGUGCUAGUAUCAGAAGCUGUUAGAAUUUUGCAAAAUGAAUGAACCGUUGGCUUUUGGGGUUCAGGCGGGCAUGAAUCGGGACUUGUAGGCUCUGCUUGAUCUGGUUCUGGGUGCAAGGUGAUCUGAGCAUAAACAUCAUCUGUCUCUUGUUCUGCCAGUAGUUGAAUGUUAACCACUCGGCAAAGGAUCUUAGAAGGAAGAUUAAACCGCGGGAUUUGUUGAGUCAGUUCCUGAUUUGUUGAUGCUUCCAAUUGUUCCAUGUGACCCUGAGGGAAAUAGAAAACUCUCUCUCCAGGCCGUGGGACCUCCACCAAUGGACCUGCACAUGCCUUCCAUAGCUCCGUAUAUAGAUCAUCUCCUCCUCUAUCACCAUGAGAAAUCGAAGCACCCCUGAGAUUACUCUCAACAUGAGCCAUAAGAGAGAAAAGAAUAGAAUCCUAGAAGAGUGUGAACAAAAGCAAUAACAACAAGAAGAACAAGGAAAGGUCUCGAAGCAGUAAAGGCUACCCCAUUAAUGGAGAAAGAAAAAAGAGAGAGGGAGACAGAGAGAACGAGAAAGAGGUAAGACAGAGGCGACGGUUAUGAGAGCAUUGAAUUGAUAAUUAGGAGUAGAGUGGGUGAGUUUUUAUCAUCUUGUUUGGGUCUGUUUCAGUUACAAAACCGCUUGUGCUUUUGCCCUGAAAGAGUCACAGAAAAACCGCUGUUUUUCUUGGCAACACUUUUCAGAGAGCAGCGUCUUUUUUGUUGUUGUUGCUGUUGGUGCUGUGAUUUCUAUCUCUUAGACUUGCCCAGAAAUUUUCCGAAUCCCUAAAACAGCUUUCUCAGACUCAUAAUAUUGCAGGGUGAUGUCUCUCUCUCUCUUCUUUCCAGUCACUCUUUAAGUUUCCUCCGCUCUAUGCUUUCUCUUUCUACUCUCUGGUCAUUUUCUCUGCCUCUGGUCUGGUCCCUGUAAUUCUUC
RNAcentral lists this unclassified non-coding RNA (2902 nucleotides) under Hevea brasiliensis (rubber tree). Lineage: Eukaryota; Viridiplantae; Streptophyta; Magnoliopsida; Malpighiales; Euphorbiaceae. The record is from RNAcentral.